UACGUAGGGUGCGAGCGUUGUCCGGAAUUAUUGGGCGUAAAGAGCUUGUAGGCGGUUUGUCGCGUCUGCUGUGAAAUCUCAAGGCUCAACCUCGGGUCUGCAGUCGAUACGGGCAAACUAGAGUAUUGCAGGGGAGACUGGAAUUCCUGGUGUAGCGGUGAAAUGCGCAGAUAUCAGGAGGAACACCGGUGGCGAAGGCGGGUCUCUGGGCAAUAACUGACGCUGAGGAGCGAAAGCGUGGGGAGCGAACAGG
Molecule: ribosomal RNA, 253 nt
Filed under: uncultured bacterium
Lineage: Bacteria
Description: partial 16S ribosomal RNA
Rfam family: Bacterial small subunit ribosomal RNA
Source: RNAcentral